This 76-nucleotide transfer RNA is filed under the name Candidatus Faecalicoccus intestinipullorum. RNAcentral's name for it is "tRNA-Phe". It matches the Rfam family "tRNA". From Rfam's summary of the family: Transfer RNA (tRNA) molecules are approximately 80 nucleotides in length. The record is from RNAcentral. Lineage: Bacteria; Bacillati; Bacillota; Erysipelotrichia; Erysipelotrichales; Erysipelotrichaceae. RNAcentral also lists the same sequence under 1 other name.
GGCUUUGUAGCUCAGUUGGUAGAGCAGGGGACUGAAGAUCCUCGUGUCGGGAGUUCGAUUCUCUCCGAAGCCACCA